This 493-nucleotide ribosomal RNA is filed under the name uncultured bacterium. RNAcentral's name for it is "partial 16S ribosomal RNA". It matches the Rfam family "Bacterial small subunit ribosomal RNA", at positions 29 to 507 of the family's 1533-position model. The record is from RNAcentral.
ACGAACGCUGGCGGCGUGCUUAACACAUGCAAGUCGAACGGAAAGGCCUGCUUUCCCUUGUGGAUUGCGGGUACUCGAGUGGCGAACGGGUGAGUAACACGUGAGUGAUCUGCCCCCAACUUGGGUAUAAGCCUGGGAAACUGGGUCUAAUUCCCGAUAGGACUGCAGGGUGGUGCCUGUGGUGGAAAACGAUUUUCUAGUGGUUGGGGAUGAGCUCGCGGCCUAUCAGCUUGUUGGUGGGGUAAUGGCCCACCAAGGCGGCGACGGGUAGCCGGCCUGAGAGGGUGGACGGCCACAUUGGGACUGAGAUACGGCCCAGACUCCUACGGGAGGCAGCAGUGGGGAAUAUUGCACAAUGGGCGGAAGCCUGAUGCAGCGACGCCGCGUGGGGGAUGACGGCCUUCGGGUUGUAAACUCCUUUCGACCGCGAGGAAGCCACCUGGUUGGAAGGGUGGUGACGGUAGUGGUAGAAGAAGCACCGGCUAACUACGUG